UACGGAGGGUGCAAGCGUUAUCCGGAUUCACUGGGUUUAAAGGGAGCGUAGGUGGGUUGGUAAGUCAGUGGUGAAAUCUCCGAGCUUAACUUGGAAACUGCCAUUGAUACUCUCAAUCUUGAAUACUGUGGAGGUAAGCGGAAUAUAUCAUGUAGCGGUGAAAUGCUUAGAUAUGAUAUAGAACACCGAUAGCGAAGGCAGCUUACUACGCAGUUAUUGACACUGAGGCUCGAAAGCGUGGGGAGCAAACAGG
Molecule: ribosomal RNA, 253 nt
Filed under: uncultured bacterium
Lineage: Bacteria
Description: partial 16S ribosomal RNA
Rfam family: Bacterial small subunit ribosomal RNA
Source: RNAcentral